RNAcentral lists this long non-coding RNA (7690 nucleotides) under Ricinus communis (castor bean). RNAcentral describes it as "long non-coding RNA (RCOM_LNC002739)". Lineage: Eukaryota; Viridiplantae; Streptophyta; Magnoliopsida; Malpighiales; Euphorbiaceae. The record is from RNAcentral.
AAAUAUGUCUUCUAAAUACUUGUUAGUCUUGUUUCUUCUCGGAGCAUUAGUGCUUCUCUCCACAACCCCCUCAUAUUCUGAUCCCCAUCAAGCCCCUAAAAAUGAAGGAGAGAAACCACCUCCAAAACAUAAACCACCACAUGGUCAUCUUCUAGCUGAAAGUGUAGAAGAAUUUCAUGAACAUGCAAAAGGUAAAAGAGACAAGCCACCACCUAAACACAAACCACCACAUGGACAUCUUUUAGCUGAGGAAGUAGAUGAUUCUUUUAAACCGCCUAUGGGUAAGGGAGAAAAAUUUCCACCGGAACACAAACCACGUAAUCCUCCAUCAGAGCAUAAGCCACCGCACAAGCCUCCACAUGCGCAAAAGCCACUAAAUAGACGUCUUUUACAAGUAGAUAUUGAGGAUGCACAUAAAGAAAAGGGAGAGAAGCCACCACAUGGACAUCUUUUGGCCGAGGAAGUUAUGGAGGACUCGCCUAAGAAAAAGGGAGAGAAGCCACCACCGAAGCACAAGCCACCACAUGGACAUCUUUUGGCCGAGGAAGAGGUCGAGGACUCACACAAAGGGAAGGGAGAGAAGCCACCACCAAAGCACAAGCCACCACAUGGACAUCUUUUGGCCGAGGAAGAAGUUGAGGACUCACACAAGGGAAAGGGAGAGAAGCCACCACCAAAACACAAGCCUCCGCAUGGACAUCUUUUAGCUGAAGAAAAAGUUGAGGACUCACACAAGGGAAAAGGAGAGAAGCCACCACCAAAACACAAGCCCCCGAAUGGACAUCUUUUAGCUGAAGAAGAAGUUGAUGACUCACACAAAGGAAAGGGAGAGAAGCCACCACCAAAGCACAAGCCACCACAUGGACAUCUUUUGGCCGAGGAAGAGGUCGAGGACUCAUACAAAGGAAAGGGAGAGAAACCACCACCAAAACACAAACCUCCACAUGGACAUCUUUUAGCCGAGGAAGAAGUUGAGGACUCACACAAGGGAAAGGGAGAGAAACCACCACCAAAACACAAGCCCCCACAUGGACAUCUUUUAGCCGAGGAAGAAGUUGAUGACUCGCACAAGGGAAAGGGAGAAAAGCCACCACCAAAACACAAGCCACCUCACGGGCACUUAUUAGUUGAAGAGGUUGAAGACUCACACAAGGGGAAAGGAGAAAAACCACCGCCAAAGCACAAACCACCUCAUGGACACCUUUUAGCUGAAGAGGCCAACGACUCUCACAAAGGAAAGGGAGAGAAGCCACCAUGCAAGUCUCCUCACAAACCCCCAUCAGCCAACUAAGUGCCUUACGCUAAUUUCGCUAGAUGCUUAAAAAUAAGAAACAGAAGUAGUUUACUCUUCUGUUGGUUUCUGUAUCUGCAUUUUUCACUGAAUUAGUAUUUGUACUUUGGCUUGUAUUAUAUGAGUACUACCCUCUAGUUGGCUGUUUUAUGUAGAUUAUGGUUUUAUGUUCUAGUGCUGCGCGUAUUAUUUCAGUUGACUUAACUUUUAUUUGCAAAAUAUACAGCAAGACAUGCACACAAUCCUAGUACGUAGUUUUGCCACAUGCAUAUAUUUGGUGGUAGGAUAUUGUCAACGACAACAACGUUUAAUUACUUUAACUUAAACACGUGCUGAUGAUUUUUUUUUUUGUAAAAGCCCUUUAUUAGUAAACUAGUAUUACUCUGACAUCAACAGAUAUACCAUAGGUUUUGUCUAAAACUUGAAGGUUUCUGUAGUUUAAUUUGGUAAGUAAAAUUUUUUGUGUGUAGCACAUAAUGAAUAUGUUACUUACAUGUGUAGAUUUAUAUUUUACAUUUUAUUUUAAUAUUAGAUAAUUAAUAUAUAUAUAUUUAAUUAUUUAAAUUUAUAUAUAUUACUAAUUUAUUAAUUUAGUCUAUAUAUAUAUAUGAUAUACAUUUAAGUUAAAUUAGGUAAGAAGUUAUUAAGUACUUCCAAAUUAAUAUGAAAUAAUUCUCUAAAGGAAAUGAAUCAACUCUUGGAAAAUGUCGGGAGAAAAGAUUUCAAAUUUCUGCAUGUCUCUGUUUCUGCUCAGUGGAUGUCUCUGUUUCUGCUUGCUGCCUAUGUUGCAAUAUUUAUUUGGCUUUUUAUUCCUGGUAAAUUUCUUAUUUUCCUCUUAAUUUUGACUAGGCCGGCUGAUUCGGGAGUAAGAUUUAAGUAGUUUUAUAUUUAAUGAAAAGUAGAAUUCUGAAGAAGCGAAAAUAAAUAUAAAAAGGGAUAAUUGGUGUUCUGAGUGAAUCAUUAUUAAACACAAAAUUAGUAUUACAAACAAAAUUGCAAUUAUCAAAAUGACAGUAUGCUCCACAGAUAGAUGAUUAUCUAAUCAGUACUUAUAAUUAGCCUAAAUUUAAUAGGAAUAGUACAGAAUUAAACUUUCUUUUUUAAAAAAAGGGUCAUUAAACUGAAUCAUAAGAACAGGAUAGAGAGUAUUUGUAAUCAAAGAAACAUAGAGAGAAUUCAAAGUAAUGCCCCCAGAUGAUAGCCCUGAACAAUAAAUAUUACUUAGAAAAACAAACUGCCAAGAGAAAUUAGUCAAUAAAAUUUAGAUUGAAUCACGAUAUUUAUAAACGAGUAGAUAAAUAUAUCUUUUUUAUUAAAAAAUAAUAUUGCAUAAUUCAUCUUAAUUUAUUUCAACUUUUACUCAUAAAAUGUGAUAUAUAAUAUAUUUAUAAAAUUAUUAAUAUUUUGAUAUUACUCUCUUAAUUAAUAAAUAAUUCCAUAAAAACAUCAUACACCAUAUUAUAUAAACAAUAGUUGGGACAAAUCAAAAUGAAAUGUUUAGCAUUUUUCUAGUUAAAACCUAUUCUACAAUUCAAACCAAAAAUAGCAGUCCAAGAAAGCAUAUCUUUCACUAAUAAUCCAAACAAAUCGCUAAUUCUAAACAACCACGUUUUGGUUAAAAGAUUAUUAAUUUAGUUUGUCUAAUAAUUCGAUCCUGAAUUUGCUGAGCCGCAGUAGGAUCUCGCUCGUAUAUACAAAUCCUGAAGAAGAUCACUAUAAAUUUCUGAUCCAAUAAUGAAACUUUGAAGUCCAUAAGUAGGUUUAGGAGAAAUUUAAAGGCAGAUUCAGUUUUAAUAUUAAAUUAUAAAUAAUAUCAAUUAUACAGUAAUAUAUAACAUUAUUUACUGAUUAUUACACUUAUAUCAGUUGAAUUCUAGCCAUAAAUAAUGAAUGGUAUGGAUAGUAGUACUUAAAAAGAAUAAUCUCCAUAUAUAUAUAAAUGCAUGGAAUUUAAUAACUUUCACACCUAUGAAAUUAUCCCACCUAAAACAGAAAACCUUAGUAUUAAAUUGAGAAUAAUGCAGAAAUAUAAAUAUUUGAAAUAAUUACAAAUAAUGCAGAAAUACAAGGACCGCAGGAAAACAGAGGCCACACACUCUUGGCUGGAAUGAUUUUCCUAUUUUUGCAUGCUCACCCAUUACUCUACUCUAUCGCAUUAUUAUUGUUCAAAACUUCACAACUUAACAAAUAUACUUCCAACACAUCACAUGCGUGACCCAUUAAUUAUUACAUGUGAACGUAAAAUGAGAAGUGGUGACAACAGCAGUGAUGUCACACUUUCUGAUAUUACUACAAUUCUUGGAUGACUUACCUUAAUUCCUUUCUGGUGCAUGUUGCAGUAAUUUAUUAGAAAUACAUAAGACCUUUUUUUUCUUCCUAUCUCUUUGUUUCAUUGUAGAAUAGUCCGAGACAACGAUAAUAUCUUACACUUAAUUUGUCUGUAAAUAUAUAUACACUUGACUUUACAUGCUAUAGUAUUAUUAACUAGUCACCUAGACAGAUUUGAAGUAGAUAAUAUUUAUCGAUAAAUUACUUUCUAGAUUUCUAUUUUAUGGUUACAUACAUCAAAAUUUCUGCAAAACAAGUGGAGAAUAGCCUAAUUUGGGGAUUCAAAGAAACUUUGAUGGCUUCUUUUUCUACUCGAAAUUAUACUAAAAAUAAUUCAUAAACAUGAAUGAUCCAAGGGUGGAGAGCAAGACUCUUAGCCAGUUUGUCAAAAAUUUUAACUCGAUGGGACCCAAUAGAUCUAAUUGGUUCGUAAGAGAGCCAAAUGUAUUCAACUUCACUACAUAGUGUACUAAUCUAUAGUAAAGGACAGGUGCAGUAUGACAUGGGUGGUGACGACAUAGUCCCACCGUCCACCCAUGCAAUAUUAUAAAAGGCAGAGCAAAGCUUCAAGUUUUGCACCAUCAACUGAACCCCAAAUAUGUCUUCUAAAUACUUGCUAGUGUUGUUCCUCCUCGGAGCAUUAGUGCUUCUCUUCACAACCCCCUCAUAUGCUGAUCAUCAUGAGCCCCUUAGAAAUAAAGGAGAGAAACCACCUCCAAAACAUAAACCACCACAUGUUCAUCUUCUAGCUGAAAAUAUAGAAGAUUUUCAUGGACAUGCAAAAGGUAAAAGAGACAAGCCACCACCUAAACAUAAACCACCACAUGGACAUCUUUUAGCUGAGGAAGUAGAUGAUUAUUCUACAUCUCCGGGAUGGAAACUACAUAAUCCUCCAUCAGAGCAUAAACCACCGCAUAAGCCUCCACAUGAGCAAAAGCCACUAAAUAGACGUCUUUUACAAGUAGAUAUUGAGGAUGCACAUAAAGAAAAGGGAGAGAAGCCACCACAUGGACAUCUUUUGGCCGAGGAAGUUAUGGAGGACUCGCCUAAGAAAAAGGGAGAGAAGCCACCACCAAAGCACAAGCCACCACAUGGACAUCUUUUGGCCGAGGAAGAGGUCGAGGACUCACACAAAGGGAAGGGAGAGAAGCCACCACCAAAGCACAAGCCACCACAUGGACAUCUUUUGGCCGAGGAAGAAGUUGAGGACUCACACAAGGGAAAGGGAGAGAAGCCACCACCAAAACACAAGCCCCCGCAUGGACAUCUUUUAGCUGAAGAAAAAGUUGAGGACUCACACAAGGGAAAAGGAGAGAAGCCACCACCAAAACACAAGCCCCCGCAUGGACACCUUUUAGCUGAAGAAGAAGUUGAUGAUUCGCACAAGGGAGAGGGAGAAAAGCCACCACCAAAACACAAGCCACCUCACGGGCACUUAUUAGUUGAAGAGGUUGAAGACUCACACAAGGGGAAAGGAGAAAAACCACCGCCCAAGCACAAACCACCUCAUGGACACCUUUUAACUGAAGAGAUCAACGACUCUUACAAAGGAAAGGGAGAGAAGCCACCUCACAAGCCUCCCCACAAACCCCCAUCAGCCGACUAAGUACCUUAGGCUAAUUUCGCUAAAUGCUUAGAAAUAAGAAACAGAAGUCUACUCUUCUGUUGGUUUCUGUAUCUGCAUUUUCACUGAAUUAGUAUUUGUACUUUGGCUUGUAUUAUAUGAAUACUACCCUCUAGUUGGCUGUUUUAUGUAGAUUAUGGUUUUAUGUUCUAGUGCUGUGUGUAUUAUUUCAGUUGAUUUAACUUUUAUUUGCAAACUAUACAGCAAUACAUGCACUUACUCCUAGUACGUAGUUCUGCCACAUGCAUAUAUUUGGUGGUAGGAUAUUGCCAACGACAACAACGUUUAAUUACUUUAACUUAAAUCAAAUAUGAAAUGAUUCUCUUAAUUAAAACUAAAUUUUUUUUAUACCCUAAUUUAACCCUUAUUUAUUAAUUAUAUUUAUUAAAUCUCUUAUUAGUUAAAGUAUAUAUAAUAAAACUAGGUAAGAAUGUGUGAGAUUUCAAAUUUCUUCAUAUCUGUCACUGGUUAUUUCAUGUCUCUGUUUCUGCUUGCUGCCUAUGUUGCAACAUUCAUUUGGCUUCUUAUUCCUAGUCAAUUACUUAUUUGCCUCUCGAUUUUGACUAGGUCGAUAGUAAGCUUAAAGUUUAAUUUCAAACAGUUUCAUAUUUAAAGAAAAGUAGUAUUUUGAAGAAGCGGAAAUAAACACAAAAAAAAGAUAGUUGGUGCAAUGAGUAAAUCAUUUUCAAAUAUAAAAUUAUUAUUACAAGCAAAAUUGGAAUUAUUAGAAUGACAGUAUGCUCCAAAGAUAAGAGUAUAAUAUGAAUAGUACAAAAUUAGCCUUUUUCUUUAAACAAAAUAAUUCAGUAAACUGAUCAUAAGAACGUAAUAAAGAGUAAAAUUCUAUCCUACAUUUGUAUUUCAAAAGUAAAAAAUAUUAAUUUUUAAAUACAUUUGGUUCUCAGUGAUUGACAAGAUAAAAUCUUAUUUAACUUUCUCCUUAUAGAGUAGGAAUUCCAGAUACAUAUUAUCUUACCAAGGGUUUGAUAAUGACAUUUUAAUUACAGCACCACUAUAGACAAGUAGCCAUUGUUAAUGGAGGUUAUCAUUCCAAUUUCCCUCUUGUGAAGUUAUUAAUUUGUGGAGAUUAUAAAGGACUCCAAUCUUUAACCCUUCCAAUGAGUUAAAAAAAUAUAAAAUAUUUCUUAUCAAAUUGCACCAUCAACAACUCAUACGAAUGCCACCUUUAUGGCCGCAAAACAGAGUGCUUGAUAACCAAAUUUAAGAUAAAUCUCAAUUCGACGGUAAGUGCAUCACUUAGAUUUGUUACAUCCUAAUAAUAUAUACUAAAUUUAUAAAUAAUUAAUAUAUAUUUUAUUAAUUUAAAUAAUAAAAUAUAUAAAUUAUAUAUAUAUCAACUGCCAGUGGUACCUUUUUUAAACUAAAGGAAGCUAUUAGUGGAGACAAGCUUUAGAAGUGAACGCCACUCAUCUGCUAAACUACAAAAGAUGCCACCACACCUCUGACGUCAAAUGAUAUGCAUGUGCUCUAGUCACUGUUGAAACUAAGAAAUUAUUAACCGUGAGCCUAAUAUCCAAAGAACCUUUGGAUCCAAUCAAUUGAUUUUAGAUAAACUAUGGUGAAAAUAUAUCAUUUUUCGUUACUCUUCAGCUUUCCACCAAAUUCAGCCCCCCAAAAGUUCAAGAAAAAAAAUUAAUACCAAGGAUAAUAUAAAUUCCAAGAGUUUAGGCGAAUAAUUUUUUUUCUGAUCAGCAUUUUGCAAUUAGUUGAAAAUUGGAACUUGCCAGAAGCUGUGCAGCUCAAUUUUAUCAGGCACAUACGAAAACACACUUCCUAUUUCUCUGAAAGUUUGUCUUGCAGCAGUUUAAGAUGAACAAAAGCAAGUUGGUUUUCUGCUUGUAAUUUACAACUCAAUUAGAUUAUAGAAGAAAUUAAAACAGUAAUAUGUAAUUCUUUGGGGCAUAACCUUUAAUACUACUGAUAAGUAUAACGGAUACGUUCCUAAAUUAUAUUGUACUAAAUUUACAACCGCAAGGAGAUCCAAGUUGGAGAGUUAAUAAUCACACUAGGUUAGGAGAAAGAGCAAUAACUUGGCCAUAUUGUCAAAGUUUUCAACUAGUUGGAACCCGGUGGAUCUUCUUCUCUAAACCGGUGGAUCUUCUUCUCUAACAUGAAAUUUUAAACAGCCAACUUGACUGCAUAGGGUACUAGGUUAGUAAAGACAAGAAAGUAUGACAUGAACAAAAACCACUUAAUAGACGUCUUUUACAAGUAGAUAUUGAGGAUGCACAUAAAGGAAAGGGAGAGAAGCCACCGCAUGGACAUCUUUUGGCCGAGGAAGUUAUGGAGGACUCGUAUAAGAACAAGAGAGAGAAGCCACCACAUGGACAUCUUUUGGCCGAGGAAUAAGUGGAGGAUUCACGCAAAGGAAACGGAGAGAAACCACCACCAAAACACAAACCUCCACAUGGACAUCUUUUAGCUGA